CUUGGUCCAAAUCCAAACUCCUAAUCCGAUCCCUAAUCCCUCAGUGACUCAGUCCAUCUCUCGACCAUUCCCUCAGUCUCUCUCUCUCUCUCAAACUCGAGCCUCAGUUCGAAGAAUCAAAUCCCUCGACCCAUUCGAUUUCAUUUCACAUCAAAGCGAUUCGAUUCACAUCAGUCGAUCAAUUGUUGCAGUACUGCUGGUGUUCCAAUCUCGAGUUGUCAACAAUUCAAGAAAUCUUACAAUCAAGGCUUAGAAGUCAGCACUGGAGCAACGUAGGAGCACUGCAGUUGGUCGGUUUGGACCAAUAGAAAAUGCUUUUAAUCAAGGAAUAGAGUCAUCAUUGACCAGUCUCAGCUCUACACAAGCUGAUGCAUAGCAGGCAGCAGCCAACAUCGUGAGCUUUCUUGUUCAACAAAGUCUGAGUCUUUGAGUGAGGCAGGGAGCACAACAAGCAAAUAUGAAGUGACGAUGAGAUGAAAUUUGAGUCUUUGAAUACUUUGUUUUAAACUAUUGUCCGCUUUGUUAUUGUAUGAUUUAUUCAUUUGUGUGAACUGUAAAUGAUGAUAUGAGGUGAUGAUGAGAUGAACUGUAAGUGAUGAUAUGAAUUAUGAAGUGAUGAACUGAUGAGUGAUGAACUGAUGAGUGUAAGUGAUGAACUAAAGUAGAUGUGAGAGAAUGAGAGACUGAGAGUUAUAAGUUUUUUGAUUGA
Molecule: long non-coding RNA, 709 nt
Organism: Rosa rugosa (rugosa rose)
Lineage: Eukaryota; Viridiplantae; Streptophyta; Magnoliopsida; Rosales; Rosaceae
Exons: 4
Source: RefSeq, a predicted model, not a curated record